This 76-nucleotide transfer RNA is filed under the name Parcubacteria group bacterium. Its description in RNAcentral is "tRNA-Ile". It matches the Rfam family "tRNA". Rfam says of the family: Transfer RNA (tRNA) molecules are approximately 80 nucleotides in length. Their secondary structure includes four short double-helical elements and three loops (D, anti-codon, and T loops). Further hydrogen bonds mediate the characteristic L-shaped molecular structure. tRNAs have two regions of fundamental functional importance: the anti-codon, which is responsible for specific mRNA codon recognition, and the 3' end, to which the tRNAs corresponding amino acid is attached (by aminoacyl-tRNA synthetases). tRNAs cope with the degeneracy of the genetic code in two manners: having more than one tRNA (with a specific anti-codon) for a particular amino acid; and 'wobble' base-pairing, i.e. permitting non-standard base-pairing at the 3rd anti-codon position. The record is from RNAcentral.
CCGCCGGUAGCUCAGGGGUUAGAGCGUUGUUCUUAUAAAGCAAAUGUCGGUGGUUCAAUUCCACCUCGGCGGACCA